Molecule: ribosomal RNA, 253 nt
Filed under: uncultured bacterium
Lineage: Bacteria
Description: partial 16S ribosomal RNA
Rfam family: Bacterial small subunit ribosomal RNA
Source: RNAcentral
UACGUAGGGUGCAAGCGUUGUCCGGAAUCAUUGGGCGUAAAGCGCGCGUAGGUGGCUUCGUAAGUCCGUUGUGAAAGUCAAAGGCUCAACCUUUGAAUGCCGAUGGAUACUGCGAAGCUAGAGUACGGAAGAGGCGAGUGGAAUUCCUGGUGUAGCGGUGGAAUGCGCAAAUAUCAGGAGGAACACCUGUGGUGUAGACGGCUUUCUGGACCAUAGCUGACGCUGAGACACGAAAGCGUGGGUAGCAAACAGG